GGGGCCUUAGCUCAGCUGGAGAGCGCAACACUGGCAGUGUUGAGGUCAGCGGUUCGAUCCCGCUGGCCCUCGCCA
Molecule: transfer RNA, 75 nt
Filed under: Halomonas sp. PA16-9
Lineage: Bacteria; Pseudomonadati; Pseudomonadota; Gammaproteobacteria; Oceanospirillales; Halomonadaceae
Description: tRNA-Ala
Rfam family: tRNA
About the family: Transfer RNA (tRNA) molecules are approximately 80 nucleotides in length. Their secondary structure includes four short double-helical elements and three loops (D, anti-codon, and T loops).
Source: RNAcentral